AGUGGGGAAUAUUGGACAAUGGGCGAAAGCCUGAUCCAGCCAUGCCGCGUGUGUGAAGAAGGCCUUCGGGUUGUAAAGCACUUUCAGUGGGGAAGAAAGCCUUGGGGCUAAUACCCUCGAGGAAGGACAUCACCCACAGAAGAAGCACCGGCUAACUCCGUGCCAGCAGCCGCGGUAAUACGGAGGGUGCGAGCGUUAAUCGGAAUUACUGGGCGUAAAGCGCGCGUAGGCGGCGUGAUAAGCCGGUUGUGAAAGCCCCGGGCUCAACCUGGGAACGGCAUCCGGAACUGUCAGGCUAGAGUGCAGGAGAGGAAGGUAGAAUUCCCGGUGCAGCGGUGAAAUGCGUAGAGAUCGGGAGGAAUACCAGUGGCGAAGGCGGCCUUCUGGACUGACACUGACGCUGAGGUGCGAAAGCGUGGGUAGCAAACAGGAUUAGAUACCCUGGUAGUCCACGCCGUAAACGAUGUCGACUAGCCGUUGGGGUCCUUGUGACCUUUGUGGCGCAGUUAACGCGAUAAGUCGACCGCCUGGGGAGUACGGCCGCGAGGUUA
RNAcentral lists this ribosomal RNA (551 nucleotides) under uncultured bacterium. Its description in RNAcentral is "bacterial SSU rRNA". It matches the Rfam family "Bacterial small subunit ribosomal RNA", at positions 353 to 896 of the family's 1533-position model. The record is from RNAcentral.